UACGUAGGGUGCAGGCGUUAAUCGGAAUUACUGGGCGUAAAGCGUGCGCAGGCGGUCUGCUAAGACAGGUGUGAAAUCCCCGGGCUUAACCUGGGAACUGCGCUUGUAACUGGCAGGCUUGAGUGUGGCAGAGGGGGGUGGAAUUCCAGGUGUAGCAGUGAAAUGCGUAGAGAUCUGGAGGAACACCGAUGGCGAAGGCAGCCCCCUGGGCUAACACUGACGCUCAUGCACGAAAGCGUGGGGAGCAAACAGG
This 253-nucleotide ribosomal RNA is filed under the name uncultured bacterium. RNAcentral's name for it is "partial 16S ribosomal RNA". It matches the Rfam family "Bacterial small subunit ribosomal RNA", at positions 524 to 776 of the family's 1533-position model. The record is from RNAcentral.